Molecule: long non-coding RNA, 3389 nt
Filed under: Brassica napus (rape)
Lineage: Eukaryota; Viridiplantae; Streptophyta; Magnoliopsida; Brassicales; Brassicaceae
Description: long non-coding RNA (BNAP_LNC016486)
Source: RNAcentral
GACCGCUGAAGUCGUUGUAGCUCAAGUUCAUCGCGAUUUGGAGACUCGAGAGGGAGCCUAGCUGAGGCGGUAUGCUCCCUGAAAACAAGUUUCCACCCAUCUGUAGCUCGGUUAGAUGCGUGAGGUUACCGAUGGUGAACGGUAUGUAGCCGGAUAAUCUAUUGUCGUUGAGUCUGAGGAUCUCUAGCUGAUGUAAGCUUCCUAGCUCGCAUGGUAAAUGACCGACGAAACUGUUCCGGCUCAGGUCGAGUCGUUGAAGCAUCUUGCAGUUGGAGAUCUCCGAAGGGAUAGGUCCGGUUAGAGAGUUUGACGAGACGUUGAAAGUGACUAAGUUGGAGAGUUUGCUGAUUUCUUUAGGUAGGCUUGAGGAGAACCGGUUAGCUGCGAGGUGAAGCCUUUGAAGCUUCUGGCAAAUCUCUAUCUUGGCAGGUAACGGUCCGCUAAACCGGUUUUGAUCCAGCUCAAUAGCCGAGAGAUUCACAAGCUUGCAUAAAUCUGUUGGGAACUGACCGGUUAGUCGGUUCCCAACUACUCUAAGCUGCUGGAGCGGUUUGCAGGUCAGGACACCCGGCGGGAUUUCUCCGAAUAUCCGGUUCGAACCGAGAUUCAAUAAGAUGAGAUUCGAUUGGUUGCAGAUAGAAGGCGGUAUCUUCCCUGAGAGCUGGUUCUCCGAGAAGUCAACAACCCAUAGAGGACUGUACAUGCCGAGACCCUGAGGGAUCACGCCGCUGAGGGAGUUGUGGAAGAGCUGAAGCUGACGCAUCGAAGUGAGAUUCUCGAAACCGGACGGUAUAGGACCGGUUAAGGAGUUAAUUGAGAGAUCAAGCUUCGCAAGAUUCUUCAAGCUGCUAACCUCGUUUGGUAUGGUUCCGGUUAACUUGUUCUGAAACAAAUACAACAGCUUCAGCUCACUGAUCUUGCUCAGCUCAACUGGGAUCUCUCCUGUCAACAUAUUCUCCGAAAAAUCGAUCUCCAUCGCUCUCGUAAGGUUCCCAAUCUCCCUUGGGAUAGUCCCAUUCAGAACAAAAAAAUUCUAAUAUUAUUUCAAGUUUUCAACCAACUAGGAAUGAUUUAUACGUAUGCUCAUGCUUUCUUUCUUCUAUAGUGACUAUACAAAUCAUAUUUAAUCUAUACAGAAACCAAGUAAGUUAACACGACUGCACCGGUGGAGGUAAAUCGCCGCACGUGGCGGACACAAUCACUUUCCCGGCACGUUCUCCCGACUCUAUCAGCAUCAACACUACUUCCCUCAUCGUAGGUCGAUCAGACGGCGAAGCUUUAGUACAGAGCACAGCAAUUUUCGUAACCGUGAUCAUGUGAGCAAGAAUCACAUCGUCUUCUACCUUUGUUAAAUAAGGAUCAAGUAUCUCACAUGUCAAGGAAUGAUCUCUGAUAUGGUUUCUUGUCCACGUGGCAAGAUCUCCACCUUGGUCAAUCGGUUGAACCGGAGUCUUUCCGGUUAACAACUCAAGAAGUACAACUCCGAAGCUGUAGAUAUCGCAUUUCUCCGUUACUUUCAUUGUGUAUGCAUACUCUGCAAAACAAAAUAAACCGGUUUUGAGGUUAAGUCCGGUUAAUCUAAAUAUCUAAACCGUAAGAACAUACUUGUUUGAUAUUACCGGUUAUCCCAGAAUCUAAUUGUCUAAACCGUAAGAUCAUUAACGUUUCGAGAUUAACAUCCGUUAAUUCAAAAUCUAAAUGUCUAAACAGUAAGAUAAUACAUGUUUUGAGAUUAAUCCCGGUUGACUAAGAAUCUAAAUGUCUAAACCGCAACAACAUAACCCCGGUUAACUCAGAAUCUAAAUGUCUAAACCGUAAAAAAAUACCGGUUUUGAGAUUAAACCCGGUUAACCAAUUCUCUAAACCGUAAAACCAAACCGGUUUUGAGAUUAGCCACGGUCAAUUCAGAAUCUAAAUCUCUAAACCGUAGGAACAAACCCGUUUUGAGAUUAGUUAACUCAGAAUAUAAAUGUCUAAACGGUAGGAACAUACCGGGAGCAAUGUAACCAUAUGAACCAGCAACGGCUGAGACAGAUUUGGACACUGGCAUGUCAAUGACCUUAGCCAAACCAAAAUCUCCGACAUGAGCUUCAAAGUUCUCAUCAAGCAAAAUGUUGUUAGACUUGAUGUCACGGUGAAUGAUCCUCGGUUUACAAUCAUGAUGCAAGUAAGCAAGACCUUCCGCCGCACCGAGCGCGAUCCCAAACCGAGUCGGCCAGUCAAGACCAUACGACUUCCCUCCGUGCAGAAUCUCACCCAAGCUUCCUCGAGACAUGUACUCGUACAGCAAGAGAUUCGAGUUCGAGACCUGGUGGUAACAGAAACUGUACAGCCUCACAAUGUUCCUGUGCCGGAUCUUUCCUAGCGUAAGAAUCUCCGCGCGGAAACUGUUAUCCGUGUUAUUGUUGUUACCGCCUUCUCUAUUCGAUCCGAGCUUUUUAACCGCGAUGGUUUUACCCGACGGCAUAACCGCUUUGUAAACCGUCCCGCACGCUCCUUUACCGAUGAUGUAGCUUUCGUGGAACCCCUUCGUCGCCUCGAGGAUGUCUUUAACGGUGAACCGUUCUUUCGGGACGAAGUAGAUGUCAGAUUCUUCGAAAAACGGUUCCUUGUCGCGCACGUAAGGAGGCUUUGUACCCUCCACAGGGUGUUGUCUAAGGAAAUGAACCACGAUAGCUAUGAGGAAAAGAGAUACACCGCCGACGACGGAAGACAAGAUGACAAUGAUCCUCCGGCGACGCGCGGAGCCUGAUCUGAGAGGCGAAAGGUUACUCCAAGAAGAGAGGUUAGAGUCGCAGCUUCUCAAAUGCCCGCCGCAGAGUCCUUUAUCUCCGAGGAAGCUAGUUAGAGUCAUGUUUUGAAAGAGCGGCGUGAGCGGAAGCGGGCCGGUCAAGUUGUUGUAGGAGAAGUUGCAGCCGAGUAGGCUCGAUAAGUUCUCGAACGUCGUCGGGAUCUCGCCGCUCAAGUGGUUGUUGUUAAGAGAAAGGUACAUAAGUAGAUAAAGAUUCCCGAGCUCAGGCGGUAUCUGACCGCUGAAGUCGUUGUAGCUCAAGUUCAUCGCGAUUUGGAGACUCGAGAGGGAGCCUAGCUGAGGCGGUAUGCUCCCUGAAAACAAGUUUCCACCCAUCUGUAGCUCGGUUAGAUGCGUGAGGUUACCGAUGGUGAACGGUAUGUAGCCGGAUAAUCUAUUGUCGUUGAGUCUGAGGAUCUCUAGCUGAUGUAAGCUUCCUAGCUCGCAUGGUAAAUGACCGACGAAACUGUUCCGGCUCAGGUCGAGUCGUUGAAGCAUCUUGCAGUUGGAGAUCUCCGAAGGGAUAGGUCCGGUUAGAGAGUUUGACGAGACGUUGAAAGUGACUAAGUUGGAGAGUUUGCUGAUUUCUUUAGGUAGG